GACUCCAGCCAGCUUAGUUCUUUGGAGAAGCAGUGUGGAGUCCUAAAAAAGGAGGCUGAGUCUUACCGUUGAGGUCGGUGCCGGUAGAGAAUGGGAGGGAGUCUGCAGGAGCCAAGCACCCUAAAGAAGAGGAAGAGAGCACGUUGCUGAGAUUUGAACAGCGACCUGAGAGGUCAGACUGGACCCAGGCCUCCUCAAGAUUGGCUUCCCAUGGGACCUGCAACUGUCUGGAAACAAAAAAAGAAGCCUACCAAAAGGGGAAAUUUAAAGGAGAGCAAGAAACCAUGAAGAGAGAGCCGAAAACGCGAAAAUGCCGACAAGCCCAAAGGAAAGCGGAGUGUCCUGUGUGCCACAUGGAACUCGGGGAAAGGAAAUGAUUAAAGCCGUGAGGUUUCCUGGCUCUUCGUGGUGUUUACGGUGGGUUUUGAUUUGGGAAGAGAGCAGGAGAGGUUAUGGCCGGUUGCCAUCUGCCAGCGUCCUCAAUCUGCCUGGGCUACAGAUGACAUAGGGGCGGGUGGGCACGUGCGCUCUGUGUGCACAUUCCGAGUGUGUGCAGGAGCGUGUCUCGGAGUGUCUUGUGUGGUGGCCUACCUGGCAAUACAUGCAUGGUUAAAAAGAAGAGAUCUUCCAGCUUCAAGAGGAGGGGUUUCAGGUUCUUUCAGACAUCUGAGGGGCUGCAUCUUUCUAAAGUGCACACGUUUCUUUUUCAAACACUAUUUAAAAAUUUUUGUAAUGUUUCCAGUCUUUGCAUACUGUAAAUGGACAGGAAUAGGACAGAAACCCCAUCAUUAAACACUUACAUUGAUUUAAAUCAAAUUCCACUAAGUGAAAAUGCUUGUUGAAAUUUGGAAAAUAUUUUUUAAUGUAAUAAUGACAUUUGGACAUUGCAACUAUAGACAAUAAUCAUCAAAUCUGAAAUUAAGAUAAAUUUAAUAAAAGUGAUUUUUAAAUG
Molecule: long non-coding RNA, 952 nt
Organism: Mus musculus (house mouse)
Lineage: Eukaryota; Metazoa; Chordata; Mammalia; Rodentia; Muridae
Gene: Hdnr
Product: Hand2 downstream lncRNA
Exons: 3
Source: RefSeq, marked validated